RNAcentral lists this microRNA precursor (89 nucleotides) under Canis lupus familiaris (dog). RNAcentral's name for it is "mir-8799 microRNA precursor family". It matches the Rfam family "mir-8799 microRNA precursor family". The record is from Rfam by way of RNAcentral. Lineage: Eukaryota; Metazoa; Chordata; Mammalia; Carnivora; Canidae.
GGGGGGCGGGGAUCCUGGGCUGUGUCCCAGGUGCCCUGUGCUCCCGGGCCUGUGCUGUUGGAUUCCAGCUCCCAUCUGCACAGCCCCCU